Molecule: long non-coding RNA, 333 nt
Filed under: Dasypus novemcinctus (nine-banded armadillo)
Lineage: Eukaryota; Metazoa; Chordata; Mammalia; Cingulata; Dasypodidae
Description: lncRNA (ENSDNOG00000050617.1)
Source: RNAcentral
UGCAGACCCAGUAUCUUAAACCUGAAUGUGGACAUGCAAUGCUAAGGAUUUCCUUCUGAUCAAAAGCAAGUUUGGGUAAAAGCACAGAGUUCAUCCUUUAUGGCAGAAGAAAACUGUAAAGACUACCUUAUUCAAUCGGUAGGUGGUAUAUAGCCUGUUUGGAACAUACCAUUAAAAUUUAUAGCAUAAAAAACAUUAAUAAAUAGAUUGACAUCUGGGUUGAUCAUUAGAACGUGUAUGGAGUCAUUCAUUUUGAAGUUACCAAUUUACAGUCAUGGUUAUCCCCUCAUUGGAUGAAGGUAGCAGAGUAGCAGGGUUAAGAACAUUGAGGCA